AUUGAACGCUGGCGGCAGGCCUAACACAUGCAAGUCGAGCGGAUGAAGGGGGCUUGCUCCUGGAUUCAGCGACGGACGGGUGGGUAAUUCCUAGGAAUCUGCCUGGUCGUGGGGGCUAGCGUCAGGACACGGGCGCUGAUACCGCAUCCGUCCUUAUGGUGAAAGGCGGGGAUCUUCGGACCUAGCGCUAUCAGAUGAGCCUAGGUCGGAUUAGCUAGUUGGUUGGGUAAAGGCCUACCAAGGCGACGAUCCGUAACUGGUCUGAGAGGAUGAUCAGGCACACUGGAACUGAGACACGGUCCAGACUCCUACGGGAGGCAGCAGUGGGGAAUAUUGGACAAUGGGCGAAAGCCUGAUCCAGCCAUGCCGCGUGUGUGAAGAAGGUCUUCGGAUUGUAAAGCACUUUAAGUUGGGAGGAAGGGCAGUAAGUGAAUCCCUUGCCGUUUUGACGUUACCAACAGAAUAAGCACCGGCUAACUUCGUG
This 484-nucleotide ribosomal RNA is filed under the name uncultured bacterium. RNAcentral's name for it is "partial 16S ribosomal RNA". It matches the Rfam family "Bacterial small subunit ribosomal RNA", at positions 30 to 507 of the family's 1533-position model. The record is from RNAcentral.